UGCCUCUUCACCAAGGUUCAAGUCAAAACGACGGUCGGAGGGGCCAGACAUUUUCAAAGGUGUUGAAGAAAGAAGAGGUCGGACAAGUCAAGAUAUUAGAAGUGCAAGAAGGGAGUUUCUACAGGCAGAAAUUCAAGUGUGCUUUGAAACGUACUGCGUGCCUCUAUAAAAAUCAGCACACGACGGGAUUUCAGAGAUCGAAGAGGCGAGCUCAGAAAUCGAAAAGGCCAAUUCAAAGAUCGAAGAGGCACUAGCUUUCUCAAAAGCUAGGCUUGCUCCGAAACCAUGGGCUAAUCUUCUUUUUCAGAUUUAUCCGCACUUGUCACAUGCAACCUCUGCACUCGACAGAGCUCAGAACUAGAAGAGGCGAGCUCAGAACUCGAAGAGGCAAGCUCAGAAAUCGAAGAGGCAUAUACUUUUCCAGACGUGUCAGCAUCUGUCACAUGCACACUCAGCUUUGCGGAAAUCACGGGCAGUUUGUCGAAGCACCGAUUCCAGAUAUCAAAGAGGCACUUGCUUUUCCAAACGUGUCAGCACCUGUCACAUACACACUCAGCCUUGCGGAAAUUACGGGCAAUCUGUCGAAGAUUUCUUGUGAAGUAGAAGGCACGUGAAGUUUACUGUUAAAUCAUCCAACGGUUGCCGACAAGAGUGAAAGAAUAGUACCGGUUAUUAAUUUCUAUAAAUGUCAACCUUCACCUUCCAUUGCAAGGCAGACAUACAUAACCUUUCUUCAUCUCCGAGAAUGCCUUCCCAACAAAGCUUCUCGAGUCACUCAAUGUUCCUUAUUCCUUGGGGUACCUCUGCAAACAACUCAUCCAAAGCAAAAGUAUUUCAUAUCAUGAAGGUUGAAAGAAAAAGUAUCUCAUAUCAUGCUUUCUCCCUGUCCUUCUCCUUAUUGUUGUUUUCAUCUGCGAGACAAGGAGAAAGAGAGCAAUCAGCCAGCACUUGGUAUCAAUCUUCCGAUCUGGAACCAACUGCCUGGAACCCCUUCCUGAUUGCUUACCUAGCCUUGCUCUCUAGUACUCAUCUUCAACAUCUUAUGCUUCCUCUUCGUCUACCACAUCUGCCUGGGGAACCAAUAAGGGAAGUGAAAAUGAUACCUCGAAGCAUGUGGAGUUAAUUCAUCCUCAGCUAGGGACAAGGACAAAGAAAGCAAAUGGUCGGCACUUGGAAAGAUUGAAGAAAGAAACAGACCAUCACCUCUACCUCUUGCCUGCUUGCCGUGCAGAAGAAACAAACAGAGAAGAAUGCAGACUGCAUAAUCAAAUCAACCCAGCAGAAGGAGUCUGAUUUGAAACCAAGGAACUCUGAUAUUCCUCGCUCAGAAUUCCAAA
RNAcentral lists this long non-coding RNA (1337 nucleotides) under Malus domestica (apple). RNAcentral's name for it is "long non-coding RNA (MDOM_LNC016804)". The record is from RNAcentral. Lineage: Eukaryota; Viridiplantae; Streptophyta; Magnoliopsida; Rosales; Rosaceae.